CUCGUAGGCGGAUUAUUAAGCUUGGUGUUAAAGUACCCGGCUCAACUGGGUGAAAGCGCUGAGAACUGAUAGACUAGAGUUCAGGAAGGGAAACUGGAAUUCCUGGUGUAGGGGUGAAAUCUGUAGAGAUCAGGAAGAACACCGGUGGCGAAGGCGAGUUUCUAGCCAUGAACUGACGCUGAGGAGCGAAAGCGUGGGGAGCGAACAGGAUUAGAUACCCUGGUAGUCC
RNAcentral lists this ribosomal RNA (229 nucleotides) under uncultured bacterium. RNAcentral's name for it is "partial 16S ribosomal RNA". It matches the Rfam family "Bacterial small subunit ribosomal RNA", at positions 568 to 796 of the family's 1533-position model. The record is from RNAcentral.